UCAGUCGACUCCUACGGGGAGGCAGCAGUGGGGAAUAUUGCACAAUGGGCGCAAGCCUGAUGCAGCCAUGCCGCGUGUAUGAAGAAGGCCUCGGGUUGUAAAGUACUUCAGUCGUGAGGAGGCGGCGCGUUAAUAGCGGCGUUGUUUGACGUUAGCGACAGAAGAAGCACCGGCUAACUCCGUGCCAGCAGCCGCGGUAAUACGGAGGGUGCGAGCGUUAAUCGGAAUUACUGGGCGUAAAGCGCAUGCAGGUGGUUUGUUAAGUCAGAUGUGAAAGACCCGGGGCUCAACCUCGGAAUAGCAUUUGAAACUGGCAGACUAGAGUACUGUAGAGGGGGGUAGGAAUUUCAGGUGUAGCGGUGAAAUGCGUAGAGAUCUGAAGGAAUACCGGUGGCGAAGGCGGCCCCCUGGACAGAUACUGACACUCAGAUGCGAAAGCGUGGGGAGCAAACAGGAUUAGAUACCCUGGUAG
RNAcentral lists this ribosomal RNA (472 nucleotides) under uncultured bacterium. RNAcentral describes it as "bacterial SSU rRNA". It matches the Rfam family "Bacterial small subunit ribosomal RNA", at positions 328 to 793 of the family's 1533-position model. The record is from RNAcentral.